GGAGCCUGUCAAGAUCACAAGUGCAAAUGGAAGGAACUGUGUGUGGCCAAGCCAAAAGGUGGAUAUAAGUGCAUCAGAGGUAGAGGUUAGUGCGAACCAGGGAGACGGUGGAAGAGGGGUUUCGACCCUCCCAAGUCGCCAGAUGUACUAAACCGAAAUGAAACGGAUAUGCUGUCAGCUGAGAAGUAUUUGGGUUCUGUACUGUGACAUCAAUUUGUACAUGAAGCAAAAAUAAAUGUCUCGAUCCU
Long non-coding RNA from Haliotis rufescens (red abalone), 248 nucleotides. RefSeq lists it as uncharacterized. The record is from RefSeq and is a predicted model, not a curated record. The transcript is spliced from 2 exons. Lineage: Eukaryota; Metazoa; Mollusca; Gastropoda; Lepetellida; Haliotidae.